RNAcentral lists this long non-coding RNA (867 nucleotides) under Homo sapiens (human). RNAcentral's name for it is "MIR663A host gene". The record is from RNAcentral. Lineage: Eukaryota; Metazoa; Chordata; Mammalia; Primates; Hominidae.
GUGUCUGUGGCGGUGGGAUCCCGCGGCCGUGUUUUCCUGGUGGCCCGGCCAUGCCUGAGGUUUCUCCCUCAGCCGCCCCUCUGCGGGCUCCCAGACGGAAUGAAGUUGAUAAUAGUGAGACCUUGUUGGUACAAGACUAUGUAACAUAACCUGCGCUUCUCAACAAAGAAUUGCUUUUCUGACUUCUGCACUCAAUAGCAAGACAAAUCUCUCCUCUGCCUUCUCCUUAUCAGACUACUCAACAUGAAGGCAAUAAGAAUGAAGACCUCUAUGUAUAAUAAUUGACUUCCACUUAAUAAAUACCUGAACAGAUGUUGAGUACAAGCUGAUCCACCUACGUUCAACCUGAGAGAGUCCACAUCCACAGACUGUUUCAUUUCCCUUUUUCAAUUUACAUAGAAGCAUAGAUUCUUGCUGGCAUAUACAAAUGCGCCAUUUAAGGCAAUCAAAAAUGGUUCCACAUCUCAUCUGAUUUCCACAAUUGUUGCUGUAACGAUGGACUACUGAGGAGAGAGACAAUUUCUCUGGCACAUCUUCCCACAUUUUAGCAACAUGUUCAUGGAGAGCCAAUAUUCAGUAAUUACAGCCCAAUUCCUCACAAUUUCACAAUUCGCUAACAAUAUGCAUUUUCACAAUGUAAAGCUGAUUUUCCUUUAACCAAAUCAAACAUGAAAAGAUAGCUGCAUGCAAUGGGCAAUCUAGAUCAUUAGAAGAUUGAUGUAAAAUUAGAGGACACUGAGACUGGAAUAGAUUGCAAACUUCAGGGAGCUCAGAAAACUUGUAAACUCUACAUUUUGAGGAAAUAUGUUGUCGAUGCUUUUGCAACUCUAUGCAGUAACUUAACAAAUAAAGCCUUAAAGUAACUUA